RNAcentral lists this ribosomal RNA (504 nucleotides) under uncultured bacterium. RNAcentral's name for it is "bacterial SSU rRNA". It matches the Rfam family "Bacterial small subunit ribosomal RNA", at positions 10 to 507 of the family's 1533-position model. The record is from RNAcentral.
AGUUUGAUCCUGGCUCAGAUUGAACGCUGGCGGCAUGCUUUACACAUGCAAGUCGAACGGCAGCACGGGUGCUUGCACCUGGUGGCGAGUGGCGGACGGGUGAGUAAUGCAUCGGAACGUGUCCUGAAGUGGGGGAUAACGCAUCGAAAGAUGUGCUAAUACCGCAUAUUCUCUGAGGAGGAAAGUAGGGGAUCGAAAGACCUUAUGCUUUUGGAGCGGCCGAUGUCUGAUUAGCUAGUUGGUAGGGUAAAAGCCUACCAAGCCGACGAUCUGUAGCUGGUCUGAGAGGACGACCAGCCACACUGGGACUGAGACACGGCCCAGACUCCUACGGGAGGCAGCAGUGGGGAAUUUUGGACAAUGGGCGCAAGCCUGAUCCAGCCAUGCCGCGUGCGGGAAGAAGGCCUUCGGGUUGUAAACCGCUUUUGUCAGGGAAGAAACGCUCCAGGCUAAUACCCUGGGGUAAUGACGGUACCUGAAGAAUAAGCACCGGCUAACUACGUG